RNAcentral lists this ribosomal RNA (618 nucleotides) under Ophionereis schayeri. RNAcentral's name for it is "eukaryotic LSU rRNA". Lineage: Eukaryota; Metazoa; Echinodermata; Ophiuroidea; Amphilepidida; Ophionereidae. The record is from RNAcentral.
GGACCUCGUUCGUCUGAGGGUCGUUAACAGAUCAAGAAAUCGCGUCCCUUUGCUCUCGAAUCAAGGCUUUAAAAAAUGCGCUUCUGGCUGGCAAGCCGGCGCGGUCUUGAGCUCCAAAGGCUUUAAAAAAUGCGCUUCUGGCUGGCAAGCCGGCGCGGUCUUGGGGCACUUGAGCGAACACGCGGGAUAUCGAGAGUAAUCCGCAUCCGUAAGCUACCCCGUGUUAGGGGUGGGGCGAGGACACUAGAUGCGAAUCUUGAAGGAGUCUCUAGAAAGCGGCGUCUUCCUGGAUAACCUUUCCACGUACCGUAGCCCCCAAGGGGCCGCGGCCGGACGGGCCUAGGGUGAGGCGGAACCAGCGGGAAAUCCGCAGCGUUCUGACCAGUAAAUCCCGGCUGUAUUCGCUCGGAAAGCGUGGAUGGGCUCCUGGAAAAUGCUCCGCCGCCGGUGUCGGGCGGGCUCAUAGACUUGAAAAGCGCUUCUGGCUAGUUUAGCCGGCGCGGUCUUGCCCGGUCGUGCUCGAUGCCGAGCCAGCGCGUGCCUGUGCACGCGCGGUAACCUGUUGGAAACAAAGUCAUAUUUGACUCGACCUCAGAUCGAGCGAGACUACCCGCUGAA